CUGGUCUUCAAUAGGGGUAGGUUCAAAACUUCAAAGCUGCUGUUCGAUCUGAAAUGGUAGGCUAUAUCUACUGUUCUGAUGUAAAUUAUAUCAAGCGUUCUUCUAGUGUGUGUGCGUGUGCUGUAUUUCCAAUGCAUACUUGCUUUUGCUUGUUUCCAUUUCUCAUGAUGUACCUUAUUUCACAUUGCUGAAUGUUUUGAUGGAUUGGAUCUCAACGAUGAAUUGAUCUUGAACCGUUCAAAAAUACCUCAGUGAUCUUGAACGCACCCCUUGUCAGACAAAAAUAUUUCUGAUCGGCAAUGAGCGCAAAUCUUUUCCGCAGCGAUACACGGCCACUAACACACACCAACGUUAUUUUUUUUUCUGGAUGAUAAAGGUCGAUUUGUCAGAUAAUAGGUUGAUAACGCUAAUCGAGAUAUGGCAGCAGUCAGCUUCUCCGAGGCACUCUGUCAGCCGUGCGUUUAUCACGAGAAAUUCAAAGUUGAGCUGAAUGUAAAGAGACCCCUGAUGCCUGUCCACCUGAGUCCAGAGCAGGUGGGGCUGGAGAUGCUGUAUCUCUGUGGACAACUGGACCUUCUCAUCAGGGCACAGGUACACCAGUUCCAGGAGCAGCUGAGACAGGACUGUAGCCCUGAGGAGUCGGCCACUUUCCAGGAGCAAGGAGCAGAGAUUAUUGAUCAGAUGCUCCAAUGCUUAGAACACCUGCCAAAACCUAUGCCGCACCUGGAGGACUAUCUUGACAUGGUGGGUCUGUCGACCAUGUACCCUCGCGUGGAGGUGUUCCUCAUCCAGGGCAGUCCAGUAGACAUGCUGGAGAAACCCCCAAUGGAUGAAUACUUCUCACACAUCGGGAGGCUCAAUCAGCUACUAGUACUUAGUCAGCAGCUAGAGGAGGAUGUAAAACAUCUCGGGAGCCACAAAUACAUCGCCCACCAGCUGUCAGUUAUAUAUCAAGUGCUCAGCUCAUUCCGAGGUAUCCAGCCACUGUCAGUCCUGAAGAAAGAGAUUGAGGCCAACUUCAGACAGAUGAAGACAUCUUUGCUGACGGAGGAGGGCUCCAGGCAGGAGCCUCAGCUCCCAGCACACUACAUCAGCUGGAUAUUGGAGCUGACUCUUAGUAUAACGUCAACAGUCUCCUCGCUACCAGAGGAACUCACUGAAGACCUGAGUCCAGCCAUGACCUUUGUGUCCCAGCUAUGACAUCACACCUGACAUUGAGCCCGUGUUACAUAUUACCAACCCGUGGAGCUGAGGGUCAACAACAUUUAAACAAAUUGUUUUUUAUUAAUGUCCGACAGACCAACCCGGUGAUUCAAGAAUGAUGUUUUGACAUGUCACUGUCAUUUUAUUGAAUAGGGUCCUAAGCUCUCAUUGGUUAAGUGGAUGAAUGUUAAUGAAUGUGUUAUAAAUGUGUUAGGCCAAAUGUCUAAAAAAGAGGUGCUAAAUAAUGUUACUGUAUGAAAUUGCAUUUGAACAAAUUGUUUACAUUGGCCAAUGAAUUAAAUUGAGAGAUAAGCCUAUAGACUGAAAAUCUUCUGAAUUUCAAUAACAGAGAUUGACCACGAGUCAUAGAUUUGAAAGAGUACAGGCUAAUCGGGCAAAAUGGCCACGGAAGUUCAAGGCCGACCGUGGUAGAGCAUACAUUGUUAGCGGAAAACAGGAUAGUGAAUGGAAAAAUGGAAAUCCUCAUGGUCAAUCAUCGUCUGAAUAAAUACACAUUUGAAAGAAAACC
Oncorhynchus tshawytscha (Chinook salmon) is the source of this 1732-nucleotide long non-coding RNA. NCBI's taxonomy places the organism in Eukaryota, Metazoa, Chordata, Actinopteri, Salmoniformes, Salmonidae. The record is from Ensembl.